This 503-nucleotide ribosomal RNA is filed under the name uncultured bacterium. RNAcentral describes it as "bacterial SSU rRNA". It matches the Rfam family "Bacterial small subunit ribosomal RNA", at positions 1 to 504 of the family's 1533-position model. The record is from RNAcentral.
CCCUUAGAGUUUGAUCCUGGCUCAGGAUGAACGCUGGCGGCGUGCUUAACACAUGCAAGUCGAACGAAGCACUUUUACAGAUUUCUUCGGAAUGAAGUUUUAGUGACUGAGUGGCGGACGGGUGAGUAACGCGUGGGUAACCUGCCUCACACAGGGGGAUAACAGUUGGAAACGGCUGCUAAUACCGCAUAAGCGCACAGUACCGCAUGGUACAGUGUGAAAAACUCCGGUGGUGUGAGAUGGACCCGCGUCUGAUUAGCUAGUUGGCAGGGUAACGGCCUACCAAGGCGACGAUCAGUAGCCGACCUGAGAGGGUGACCGGCCACAUUGGGACUGAGACACGGCCCAAACUCCUACGGGAGGCAGCAGUGGGGAAUAUUGCACAAUGGGGGAAACCCUGAUGCAGCGACGCCGCGUGAGCGAAGAAGUAUUUCGGUAUGUAAAGCUCUAUCAGCAGGGAAGAAGAAAUGACGGUACCUGACUAAGAAGCACCGGCAAAUCUG